Molecule: ribosomal RNA, 2902 nt
Filed under: Klebsiella pneumoniae
Lineage: Bacteria; Pseudomonadati; Pseudomonadota; Gammaproteobacteria; Enterobacterales; Enterobacteriaceae
Description: 23S ribosomal RNA
Rfam family: Bacterial large subunit ribosomal RNA
Source: RNAcentral
GGUUAAGCGACUAAGCGUACACGGUGGAUGCCCUGGCAGUCAGAGGCGAUGAAGGACGUGCUAAUCUGCGAAAAGCGUCGGUAAGGUGAUAUGAACCGUUACAGCCGGCGAUGUCCGAAUGGGGAAACCCAGUGCAAUUCGUUGCACUAUCGUUAACUGAAUACAUAGGUUAACGAGGCGAACCGGGGGAACUGAAACAUCUAAGUACCCCGAGGAAAAGAAAUCAACCGAGAUUCCCCCAGUAGCGGCGAGCGAACGGGGAGCAGCCCAGAGUCUGAAUCAGCUUGUGUGUUAGUGGAACGGUCUGGAAAGUCCGACGGUACAGGGUGAUAGUCCCGUACACCAAAAUGCACAGGCUGUGAACUCGAAGAGUAGGGCGGGACACGUGGUAUCCUGUCUGAAUAUGGGGGGACCAUCCUCCAAGGCUAAAUACUCCUGACUGACCGAUAGUGAACCAGUACCGUGAGGGAAAGGCGAAAAGAACCCCGGCGAGGGGAGUGAAAAAGAACCUGAAACCGUGUACGUACAAGCAGUGGGAGCACCUUCGGGUGUGACUGCGUACCUUUUGUAUAAUGGGUCAGCGACUUAUAUUCUGUAGCAAGGUUAACCGUAUAGGGGAGCCGCAGGGAAACCGAGUCUUAACUGGGCGUUAAGUUGCAGGGUAUAGACCCGAAACCCGGUGAUCUAGCCAUGGGCAGGUUGAAGGUUGGGUAACACUAACUGGAGGACCGAACCGACUAAUGUUGAAAAAUUAGCGGAUGACUUGUGGCUGGGGGUGAAAGGCCAAUCAAACCGGGAGAUAGCUGGUUCUCCCCGAAAGCUAUUUAGGUAGCGCCUCGUGAAUUCAUCUUCGGGGGUAGAGCACUGUUUCGGCUAGGGGGUCAUCCCGACUUACCAACCCGAUGCAAACUACGAAUACCGAAGAAUGUUAUCACGGGAGACACACGGCGGGUGCUAACGUCCGUCGUGAAGAGGGAAACAACCCAGACCGCCAGCUAAGGUCCCAAAGUCAUGGUUAAGUGGGAAACGAUGUGGGAAGGCACAGACAGCCAGGAUGUUGGCUUAGAAGCAGCCAUCAUUUAAAGAAAGCGUAAUAGCUCACUGGUCGAGUCGGCCUGCGCGGAAGAUGUAACGGGGCUAAACCAUGCACCGAAGCUGCGGCAGCGACACUAUGUGUUGUUGGGUAGGGGAGCGUUCUGUAAGCCUGCGAAGGUGUGCUGUGAGGCAUGCUGGAGGUAUCAGAAGUGCGAAUGCUGACAUAAGUAACGAUAAAGCGGGUGAAAAGCCCGCUCGCCGGAAGACCAAGGGUUCCUGUCCAACGUUAAUCGGGGCAGGGUGAGUCGACCCCUAAGGCGAGGCCGAAAGGCGUAGUCGAUGGGAAACAGGUUAAUAUUCCUGUACUUGGUGUUACUGCGAAGGGGGGACGGAGAAGGCUAUGUUAGCCGGGCGACGGUUGUCCCGGUUUAAGCAUGUAGGCUGAUUGUCCAGGCAAAUCCGGAUAAUCAAGGCUGAGGUGUGAUGACGAGGCACUACGGUGCUGAAGUAACAAAUGCCCUGCUUCCAGGAAAAGCCUCUAAGCAUCAGGUAACAUUAAAUCGUACCCCAAACCGACACAGGUGGUCAGGUAGAGAAUACCAAGGCGCUUGAGAGAACUCGGGUGAAGGAACUAGGCAAAAUGGUGCCGUAACUUCGGGAGAAGGCACGCUGGUGUGUAGGUGAAGUCCCUGCGGAUGGAGCUGAGACCAGUCGAAGAUACCAGCUGGCUGCAACUGUUUAUUAAAAACACAGCACUGUGCAAACACGAAAGUGGACGUAUACGGUGUGACGCCUGCCCGGUGCCGGAAGGUUAAUUGAUGGGGUUAUCCGUAAGGAGAAGCUCUUGAUCGAAGCCCCGGUAAACGGCGGCCGUAACUAUAACGGUCCUAAGGUAGCGAAAUUCCUUGUCGGGUAAGUUCCGACCUGCACGAAUGGCGUAAUGAUGGCCAGGCUGUCUCCACCCGAGACUCAGUGAAAUUGAACUCGCUGUGAAGAUGCAGUGUACCCGCGGCAAGACGGAAAGACCCCGUGAACCUUUACUAUAGCUUGACACUGAACAUUGAGCCUUGAUGUGUAGGAUAGGUGGGAGGCUUUGAAGCGUGGACGCCAGUCUGCGUGGAGCCAACCUUGAAAUACCACCCUUUAAUGUUUGAUGUUCUAACGUUGGCCCCUUACCGGGGUUGCGGACAGUGUCUGGUGGGUAGUUUGACUGGGGCGGUCUCCUCCCAAAGCGUAACGGAGGAGCACGAAGGUUAGCUAAUCCUGGUCGGACAUCAGGAGGUUAGUGCAAUGGCAUAAGCUAGCUUGACUGCGAGCGUGACGGCGCGAGCAGGUGCGAAAGCAGGUCAUAGUGAUCCGGUGGUUCUGAAUGGAAGGGCCAUCGCUCAACGGAUAAAAGGUACUCCGGGGAUAACAGGCUGAUACCGCCCAAGAGUUCAUAUCGACGGCGGUGUUUGGCACCUCGAUGUCGGCUCAUCACAUCCUGGGGCUGAAGUAGGUCCCAAGGGUAUGGCUGUUCGCCAUUUAAAGUGGUACGCGAGCUGGGUUUAGAACGUCGUGAGACAGUUCGGUCCCUAUCUGCCGUGGGCGCUGGAGAAUUGAGGGGGGCUGCUCCUAGUACGAGAGGACCGGAGUGGACGCAUCACUGGUGUUCGGGUUGUCAUGCCAAUGGCACUGCCCGGUAGCUAAAUGCGGAAGAGAUAAGUGCUGAAAGCAUCUAAGCACGAAACUUGCCCCGAGAUGAGUUCUCCCUGAGACUUUAAGUCUCCUGAAGGAACGUUGAAGACGACGACGUUGAUAGGCCGGGUGUGUAAGCGCAGCGAUGCGUUGAGCUAACCGGUACUAAUGAACCGUGAGGCUUAACCUU